RNAcentral lists this ribosomal RNA (450 nucleotides) under uncultured bacterium. RNAcentral describes it as "partial 16S ribosomal RNA". It matches the Rfam family "Bacterial small subunit ribosomal RNA", at positions 338 to 795 of the family's 1533-position model. The record is from RNAcentral.
CCUACGGGGGGCUGCAGUAAGGAAUAUUGGUCAAUGGACGGAAGUCUGAACCAGCCAUCCCGCGUGCAGGAAGAAGGUCCUAUGGAUUGUAAACUGCUUUUAGCAGAGACGAAACGCCUUCAUUUAUGGGGGUUUGACGGUAUCUGCGGAAUAAGCACCGGCUAACUCCGUGCCAGCAGCCGCGGUAAUACGGAGGGUGCAGGCGUUAUCCGGAAUCACGGGGUUUAAAGGGUGCGUAGGCGGCAGAGUUGAAAGCCUGUAGCUUAACUACAGAAGUGCCAUUGAUACUGAUGUUCUUGAAUUGGGUUGAGGUUAGCGGAAUGUGACAUGUAACGGUGAAAUGUUUAGAUAUGUCAUGGAACACCGAUUGCGAAGGCAGCUAGCUGGGCCUUGAUUGACGCUGAGGCACGAAAGCGUGGGUAGCGAACAGGAUUAGAUACCCGAGUAGUC